AACGAACGCUGGCGGCAGGCCUAACACAUGCAAGUCGAGCGAGGACUUCGGUCCUAGCGGCGGACGGGUGAGUAACGCGUGGGAACGUGCCCUUUGCUUCGGAAUAGCCCUGGGAAACUGGGAUUAAUACCGGAUGAGCCCUUUGGGGGAAAGAUUUAUCGGCGAAGGAUCGGCCCGCGUUGGAUUAGGUAGUUGGUGGGGUAAUGGCCUACCAAGCCGACGAUCCAUAGCUGGUUUGAGAGGAUGAUCAGCCACACUGGGACUGAGACACGGCCCAGACUCCUACGGGAGGCAGCAGUGGGGAAUCUUAGACAAUGGGGGAAACCCUGAUCGAGCCAUGCCGGGUGAGCGAUGAAGGCGUUAGGGUUGUAAAGCUCUUUCAGCUGGGAAGAUAAUGACGGUACCAGAAGAAGAAGCCCCGGCUAACUCCGUG
This 433-nucleotide ribosomal RNA is filed under the name uncultured bacterium. RNAcentral describes it as "partial 16S ribosomal RNA". It matches the Rfam family "Bacterial small subunit ribosomal RNA", at positions 29 to 507 of the family's 1533-position model. The record is from RNAcentral.